AGCAGCCGCGGUAAUUCCAACUCCAAUAGCGUAUAUUAAAGUUGUUGCAGUUAAAAAGCUCGUAGUUGAAUUUCGGGAUCAGUUCGCCGGUCGUGCCUUGGUAUGUACUGGUGUUACUGGUUCCUCCCUUCUGAAGAACUGUCAUGCCAUUUAUUUGGUGUGGCGGGGAAUCAGGACUGUUACUUUGAAAAAAUUAGAGUGUUUAAAGCAGGCUCGCGCUUGAAUACAUUAGCAUGGAAUAAUGAAAUAGGACGUUCGAUCCUAUUUUGUUGGUUUCUAGGAUUGACGUAAUGAUUAAUAGGGAUAGUUGGGGGCAUUAGUAUUCAAUUGUCAGAGGUGAAAUUCUUGGAUUUAUUGAAGACUAACUACUGCGAAAGCAUUUGCCAAGGAUGUUUUCAUUAAUCAAGAACGAAAGUUAGGGGAUCGAAGACGAUCAGAUACCGUCGUAGUCUUAACCAUAAACUAUGCCGACUAGGGAUCGGAUGAUGUUAAUUUUUAAUGACUCAUUCGGCGCCUUAAC
This 520-nucleotide ribosomal RNA is filed under the name uncultured Glomus. Its description in RNAcentral is "SSU rRNA". It matches the Rfam family "Eukaryotic small subunit ribosomal RNA", at positions 569 to 1092 of the family's 1831-position model. The record is from RNAcentral. Lineage: Eukaryota; Fungi; Glomeromycota; Glomeromycetes; Glomerales; Glomeraceae.